UAAACCUUAAAGGGCUAUGUAAACUCGUGCAAUGAGAGUUGCACAAUUGUAUAAUAUUUUCCUCACAAUUAUUUUCUUGGAUCUUUUUCUUGUACAAACACUCAAUAACUACAACUGCUUGAAUCUACAAGUCCCAAAGGCUGUUUUUUCCCCGCACAUAAAUGACAAGUUCCAUGCGCUCUCACUUAUGCAGCACAUUUGUAAGUGAAUGUUUAAAGUGAAAGAGGUCGUUCGGCACUGGGCGAAAUAGGCAUAUAUCCGGAGAGAUUAGCAAAGCAAAGCUGCAAAUUCAUCCAGCAUUGCUGCUUGUCGUCCUUAUCAUUCUUAUCCAAUCAGCUCGCAUCAUCUAUGGCAGAGCAAAAAUAACUUAUUAUUGUAAACUUUUUAAAUUAAAGUAAUUGUUUCGACCCCUACCAGAGAAUUGUCCCCAUAGACAUAUGUCUAUGAUUUUCCCCUUUCUGUUGAGGUGCAUGACGGGACAUUUCUUCUCCUCUUGACUCCAGCUGUGGCGCACGCGCAAUGAGAAGCUCCAUCCUUCUAUCCCAACAAGCCUGAAGAGAUACAGCAGCUGCACUUGAAAUCGGAAGCCUUUUCAUUUUUAUUUUAGAAGAGAAUUUAACCAGUUUUUGUCAUGCAGCUAAGCUUUAUUUCAUGCCCGGUUAUAUUCAAGGAAUGCGAUGAAGAUGGAUAAAGUAGAGAGCAUAUCUUUAAGAAUACUGAAUUUAAAAAGACGAAUGAAGACAUAUGCCUGUCUCAGCUCCUGUACAGACCUACCCCCUGCACAACCCUCUCCUGUCUCUCUAUCGUAUCUGUCCAUGGUUUGAUACAUCUGUGAGCAAGAAUCCUUCUUUAUGGCAAAUACAUGGAUGCCUAACCAGAAUUAAAUGAAACCCAGCAACCCAUGCCAUGUCAUUCCUCACAGCGUAGGACUUCAAAGGUUCACAUCAAAGGGCAAAGGUGCCCUGUUCUCAUUCCUAGCAGUUUCUUGUGCAUGCUUGGCCCUGGAUGCGUCAUCUGUCACCAGAAAUGCAUAGGACAUCACGUCUUCCAUGCCCUGAAUUGAACCAAAGACAAUGAUUAGCAUCCAGACUGUCUCUCUGGCCCAACGUUUAAGCAGCCAACAUGAGCACUAAGCUUGCAUUUGCCCUGUCUCUCUGACAGCCAUUUUGACUGAUAGCCUAUAGUGACUCAACUGAUCUCAUAGCUCCUCGGCCCCCCACUUUACAGCACUAUGACCUCAUCUUGGCAGUGACAUCGGCGGUGGAAUGGUGAUGAAGGGCGCCGGAGAGCCAAGGUGUCAGUGAGGCUGGAUGCCAGGCAACCGUGCGGAAGACUGGCAAUGAGCAUCAUUCUGCCAAAUAGAUUGCAAAAUGCAGUCUGUCUGCUGGUUCUUUGAUCUACCUUUGAGAGACUCCAAAGGAUGAGCUUAUCCAGGCUGAUGUGGCCUUGUGUGAGGGUGUGAUUUUGGACCCAGAGAGGAUGAACACAAUGAAGACGAUAGAGGUCCCAGACACCCAGAGGUUGCCUUCUGCCACGCAGGUGCCCAUCGGUUGGCAACGGAAGGGGGACCACACCAGGGUUGUCUACAUAAGUCCCAGUGGUUCAGUCCUUGCCUGCUUGGAGCAGGUGAAGAGUUACCUGCUUACAGAUGGUACCUGUAAGUGUGGUUUGGAGUGUCCCCUCAUUUUGUCAAAGGUGUUCAACUUUGACCCUGGGGCUGCCGUGAGGCAGAGAACUACUGAGGAUGCCAGAGCAGAUGAGGACGUCACCAGGCUGUGCAUCCACAAGAGGAAAAUCAUUGCAGUAGCCACCCUUCACAAGAGCAUGAUGUCACCCAACCCUUCGCUUGUUCUCACCAGUCCAAGUGGGGAUACAAGUUUGGCGUCCUUUACACGUUCCCUGUCUCACCCUCAGCGUGAUGGCUCCACAAGAUCAUUGCCUGAAGACAGCAAUAGGCCGUACCGGACACCAUUGACAACGCAUGGCCAUAUGCACUUCCGACAUGAUAUGGGCUCCCCUCCUCAACAGGAUGUAUACUCUAACUACAGCAGGACAAAGCAAGGCUCAAGUGAACACGUAGACCGUAAAUCGCCCUACCGGCAUCGGCUCAGUGCGCUGCUUAGCCCCAAUAGGGCGGCCGGCUCUCACCCUUACCUGGAUGGUGGCCCUUCCUCUAGAAGUGAUUCCCUCAUGAGUCCAGAUCGGUCUGCUGGCUUCCAAGGAACCUGUAGUCCAGGGAAGACCCAUGCUAACAGGGCGCCCACAACCCCCCUGUCUCCACUACACGCUUCGCAUCUCAGUUCCCUGCCUUCCUCCCAGCCCUCUUGUGCCAUGGCAGGCAGAAUUACCGUCCCUCCAUCUCCAUCCAGUGCUGCCAAAAGCCCGGUCAUGAAGCCACGCUCUUGCAGUUUCCCUCAGAACAUGGACAUGUUUCACCAUAAGCCUCACUCAGUGCUCCACCGUAAUUCUCACCAUCCACAGCUUUCUCCUUGUGUCUUGGCAAAGCAGCAGGUGAACCCCGAAACGGACCCCCUUGGCAUCCUGGACCCCAUUCCCAGUCAUUCUUCUUUGGGGCUAAAUCCAUCGAGCCUUCAGACCAGUGCCCACUCUCAGGUACCACAGAUGAAUGUAAAUAUGCACUCUACCACUGUUCCAUUACCAAGCAAUCUUCCAUUGCCAACAGCAAGGUCCGGUCCUACCAGUAACGGAAGCAGGGGUCAACACCAUGCACCGCUGUCCAUCUCACCAUCACCGAUUGCAUCUCCAGUGCAAAUGGCAGCCUCCUCUCUUGUCAGGCUAGACACUCAACAUCUCAGUACCCAUUCAGCAUCCUCUGUUUCUGACCAUGGAGAUUUUGUGCUACCCACGGGACCACAGGCCUCAUUUGGGCUUAGUAAGGGCCUUUCACAAUCCCCACAAUCCUCUUUAGGUUCCCCCUACCCUGUCAUGCCAUCAAGUCCAACUGCAAAAUCUGAAAUGCUUCAGAAUUACAAGGACCAUUCCAACCACUUCCUCGGGGGAAUGAACAGCACGCUAAGAAAACAUUCCGACCCCAAGUACGCAGGAUUUGGCUCAGGUGAUGGCCUUCAAAAAAGCAACCAGGCCUUGAUGGGAAUGAACCACAUCCUUAAUAAACGCAACCCAACCACGUUCCCAGCAAGUAUUCUCUUGUCUGCAGCAGCCAAAGCACAGACUGCUAAUACAAACGUAUGUGCCGGUGGUGAAUCGGAGGCGGGUGUCCCCGGUGGUCAUCACAGUAUGAAUGCAAUAGCUAACCCUCAUCCCCCGGCAGUGAGCGAGGCCCAGAGUGGCCGCGCCGCAUUACGUGACAAACUUAUGGCCCAGCAGCGGGAUGCAUUCCACAAGAACAGACACCUUAGCAACAGUAACAACACAGCUUUCAACAUGCCGGAGUCCCAGUUUGGUGGCUCAGGUUCUAGAUUCCUUGGUUCCUCGGAAUUCGUCAGAAAGCUUCCACAGCAGCCCGGUUUCAAGGGCAGUACGUCCAUGGCCCAGCUUCUUCAGAACAUGAGCGGUACCCACAACGGAACAUCUCAGAUGGGCCACUACGUAGGGGGGUCAGCCCAGUCUCCCUUUAGGGAUGGCAUGAUAUCUAUAGGUACUCCCUUUCAAAGUCAACAGGUGGUGCUGCGCUCUCAAGAUGGCAUGGACUUGUCACAGUACCAGAACAUGGAACAACAUGGAAUGAACGAAGACCGACCUUCUGCCAUGAUGAAUCAUUAUCAGCCACAGUCCCAUGCAGAGCUCUCUUGGAUGGGUCAGAGUGGACAGGCAGCUAUGGGAUCCCAGGGCCCUCAUAAACCACACCAACAGCAGCUCAGCCACCAUUACUACCCCCUGAACACCCCACACGUCCACAACAGGCCAGCCUUUUCGUCCAUGAUCCCAAAUGGCUAUGCUCAGACACUUUCAGGAGCGCCACAUAAAUGAUUAAAUUCCCGUCACUUGGAAGCUGUGUGGAUUCCCCCAAACGUUCCCCAAAAGCCUCACAGUGGCUUUGGCGAGGUGAUGCUUCCACCAUGAAAUGCUGUCUUGGAAAUCUGCUGUCUAUUAAAGGUUACAGCAAUGUCCAGAGCAGACCUAUACCCCUGAUUACAUCACAGCUAGAACUGCAGGAACUGUGAGAUUCACAAUGGAUCCUGGAGGUAUGCUCCAUCGUUAAAUAUUGUGGCCCAUAUUUUGAGGGGUUGUACAAAUUGUAUUUUGACUGACACAACCAGUACAGUAACAAGGUUAGCACACCAAUUUGUAGAGAUAAAGACUAAAUGGUUAGAUGUAAUACAAAAAGAAAUAACCUGCUGCCAUAGAUACCCAACACUUGAACACAACACAAAUGAAAAUCCUAAACCUGUGGUAAGCGAUAUUUUUAUAACCCUAGAAGUCUUUACAUUUUGUAUCUAUCGUGAGAAUAGACCCUGUGAUAAACAAAAAUGCAUGUGAGAUUUUCCCAGGUUGUAUAAUUGACAACAACUAUGUGAUGUAAUAAAAAAUGUCUAAACAAAGUAUCCAUAUUUCCAUCCAUAUCAACUCAGAUACAAAAAAGGCAGUGUUGGUGGUUAACGUUAGAAUGAGCUUGCUCAUUAGGAAGCCAUUUAGACUUACUAGACAUUAGACAUACAAACUGACUAUAAGAUUGGGUAGACAUCUAUUGUAUGUUAUGUAACAUUUUCUUUUUCCCCGCAGAUUUGGACUUCAUUAGUUCAACCCCUUUUUCUUUAUUCUAGAUGAAAUAUAGCAAAGAAUGUCUCGCUCUCUGCCUUGUCAAUGUGGACUCAGGCAGACUUGCCAAAUCAAAAGCUUCAUAGAUCAGAGGGACCGUCUUGCUGGGGGGCACAAGAGAUGAAUGGCACUUACAAGGCAGUGGUGGAUUCACCCAAAAAUGAUAUAAACCCACCAUAAUGCGACAUCCACCAGUAAGAGGAGAAACAGCAGUCUCAGCAAGGCCCUCGGUGCCACGUGUGCCUUCAGCACCUUCCCAUAAACACCUGUCCUCCGCUCCAGUCUGGUCAACACCUUCCCAUAAACACCUGUCCUCC
RNA transcript from Clupea harengus (Atlantic herring), 5057 nucleotides. It is a transcript of the gene named methyl-CpG-binding domain protein 5-like, with no coding region annotated. The transcript is spliced from 8 exons. The record is from RefSeq and is a predicted model, not a curated record. Lineage: Eukaryota; Metazoa; Chordata; Actinopteri; Clupeiformes; Clupeidae.